CCAUAAGUAGCUUAACAAUAAAGCCUCAGCCUCUUGAUCUGAAGAUGGGUUAAACAACCCCUUAAGGA
RNAcentral lists this transfer RNA (68 nucleotides) under Holothuria leucospilota. RNAcentral's name for it is "tRNA-Lys". It matches the Rfam family "tRNA". Rfam says of the family: Transfer RNA (tRNA) molecules are approximately 80 nucleotides in length. Their secondary structure includes four short double-helical elements and three loops (D, anti-codon, and T loops). The record is from RNAcentral. Lineage: Eukaryota; Metazoa; Echinodermata; Holothuroidea; Aspidochirotida; Holothuriidae.